GAUGAACGCUGGCGGCGUGCCUAAUACAUGCAAGUCGAGCGAACAGACGAGAAGCUUGCUCCUCUGAUGUUAGCGGCGGACGGGUGAGUAACACGUGGAUAACCUACCUAUAAGACUGGGAUAACUUCGGGAAACCGGAGCUAAUACCGGAUAAUAUUUUGAACCGCAUGGUUCAAUAGUGAAAGACGGUUUUGCUGUCACUUAUAGAUGGAUCCGCGCUGCAUUAGCUAGUUGGUAAGGUAACGGCUUACCAAGGCAACGAUGCAUAGCCGACCUGAGAGGGUGAUCGGCCACACUGGAACUGAGACACGGUCCAGACUCCUACGGGAGGCAGCAGUAGGGAAUCUUCCGCAAUGGGCGAAAGCCUGACGGAGCAACGCCGCGUGAGUGAUGAAGGUCUUCGGAGCGUAAAACUCUGUUAUUAGGGAAGAACAGAUGUGUAAGUAACUAUGCACGUCUUGACGGUACCUAAUCAGAAAGCCACGGCUAACUACGUG
Molecule: ribosomal RNA, 497 nt
Filed under: uncultured bacterium
Lineage: Bacteria
Description: partial 16S ribosomal RNA
Rfam family: Bacterial small subunit ribosomal RNA
Source: RNAcentral